CCCUUAGAUGUUCUGGGCGGCCCGCGCACUACAUUGGCACUCUCAAUAAGUUCCUAGAUCUAAAACUUUGGGGUAUUCUAUUAAGUGGUGUCGCGACUGGGAUUAACCCUUGCAAUUAUUGGUUACGAACGAGGAAUUCCUUGUAAUCGCGGUUUAUCAGCCCGCGUUGAAUGCGUCCCUGCCCUUUGUACACACCGCCCGUCGCUCCUACCGAUGAAUCGUCCGGUGAAGUUCAUGGAGUGGUGGUUGUUCCAGCUGCUGUCGAAGUGAAAUGGACCUCACGAUUUAGAGGAAGGAGAAGUCGUAACA
Molecule: ribosomal RNA, 309 nt
Filed under: uncultured eukaryote
Lineage: Eukaryota
Description: partial 18S ribosomal RNA
Rfam family: Eukaryotic small subunit ribosomal RNA
Source: RNAcentral